Molecule: ribosomal RNA, 253 nt
Filed under: uncultured bacterium
Lineage: Bacteria
Description: partial 16S ribosomal RNA
Rfam family: Bacterial small subunit ribosomal RNA
Source: RNAcentral
UACAGAGGGGGCAAGCGUUGUUCGGAAUUACUGGGCGUAAAGGGCGCGUAGGCGGCCUGUUAAGUCGAACGUGAAAUCCCCGGGCUCAACCCGGGAACUGCGUCCGAUACUGGCAGGCUUGAAUCCGGGAGAGGGAUGUGGAAUUCCGGGUGUAGUGGUGAAAUGCGUAGAGAUCCGGAGGAACACCAGUGGCGAAGGCGACACGCUGGGCCGUACCUGACGCUAAAGCGCGACAGCAUGGGGAGCAAACGGG